This 447-nucleotide ribosomal RNA is filed under the name uncultured bacterium. RNAcentral describes it as "bacterial SSU rRNA". It matches the Rfam family "Bacterial small subunit ribosomal RNA", at positions 355 to 825 of the family's 1533-position model. The record is from RNAcentral.
UGGGGAAUAUUGGACAAUGGGCGAAAGCCUGAUCCAGCAAUGCCGCGUGAGUGAUGAAGGCCUUAGGGUUGUAAAGCUCUUUUUACCAGGGAUGAUAAUGACAGUACCUGGAGAAUAAGCUCCGGCUAACUCCGUGCCAGCAGCCGCGGUAAUACGGAGGGAGCUAGCGUUGUUCGGAAUUACUGGGCGUAAAGCGUACGUAGGCGGUGACUCAAGUCAGAGGUGAAAGCCUGGAGCUCAACUCCAGAACUGCCUUUGAAACUAGGUCGCUAGAAUCACGGAGAGGUGAGUGGAAUUCCGAGUGUAGAGGUGAAAUUCGUAGAUAUUCGGAAGAACACCAGUGGCAAGGCGGCUCACUGGACGUGUAUUGACGCUGAGGUACGAAAGCGUGGGGAGCAAACAGGAUUAGAUACCCGCGUAGUCCCUGAGCGGGCUGGCAAGGCGCAU